Molecule: transfer RNA, 86 nt
Filed under: Penicillium brasilianum
Lineage: Eukaryota; Fungi; Ascomycota; Eurotiomycetes; Eurotiales; Aspergillaceae
Rfam family: tRNA
About the family: Transfer RNA (tRNA) molecules are approximately 80 nucleotides in length. Their secondary structure includes four short double-helical elements and three loops (D, anti-codon, and T loops).
Source: Rfam by way of RNAcentral
UCCGCAUUAGUGUAGUGGUUAACAUAUUUGUCUUUCAUCUGAUGAAAGAUUCACAGAAGCCGGGGGUUCGAUUCCCCCAUGCGGAG